GCGACACUAGCUCAGUUGGUAGAGCGCAACCUUGCCAAGGUUGAGGUCACGAGUUCGAACCUCGCGUGUCGCUCCA
Molecule: transfer RNA, 76 nt
Filed under: Vibrio cholerae
Lineage: Bacteria; Pseudomonadati; Pseudomonadota; Gammaproteobacteria; Vibrionales; Vibrionaceae
Also listed under: 2 other names
Description: tRNA-Gly
Rfam family: tRNA
About the family: Transfer RNA (tRNA) molecules are approximately 80 nucleotides in length.
Source: RNAcentral